UCCGGAUUGAAAAGUGAGCGAUAUGUUCCAGUUCUAACCUCAUCUGUGUAAGCCGCAAAAUCGGAUUAAUAUUGGAGCAUAUACCGAUGGUUCCAAAUCGACGAAGAUUGCUCUCGGAACAUGUUUAGCAGCUCCUCUAAAUAAAAAUGUAUCGUCUGCCAAUCCAGGGGAUCGGUCUUCUGGUAUCUGUCCAUCCGCUUCAUCAUUUCCGCCGUAUUUUUAUUUAAAAUGUUUAGGCUACGUCACUUACCACGCGUUCCCGAUUUGGACACCAGCCUGGACAGCGCGUUAUAGCAGUUAUAGGAAUUAAGGUUAGUAAUUAAAAUGUAUUCCGAUUUAUUUUGACAUAAACGUUACCUGUCCGAUAUGAAUGGAAAUGCAUUCACGUUGUGAAUAGACCUAAUUAAAAUCAUUUUAGAGCAACAAGAAAAAACAAAUGUCAUUUUUUUUAAAUCAAGGCAAUAUUAACUAAAAAAAAUUUUCCACCAUGGCUUUUAAUUUAAUUUGAAAAGCUUAUGAUACCAU
This is a long non-coding RNA of Daphnia pulicaria, 525 nucleotides long. RefSeq lists it as uncharacterized. NCBI's taxonomy places the organism in Eukaryota, Metazoa, Arthropoda, Branchiopoda, Diplostraca, Daphniidae. The record is from RefSeq and is a predicted model, not a curated record. The transcript is spliced from 4 exons.